CAUCUUAUGAUUUCCAUGCUUUGCUUAUAAUAGUUUCAGACAUAAAAUAUUUAUGUUUAGAAAUGGUUUGAUGCCUAAUGCCAAAUUUUUUAAUACUAUGACUAUGACCUAAAAUAAAUUUUAUAGGCUCUUAUUCUAUUCCAUCUUAUGACUAUGACCUAAAAUCUAAAAAUCAACUGUAAAAAAACAAUACGCGUUUUUAAUAAAUUUAUAGUUCCAUCAUUCUCGACGUUUUGGGAAUAAUAGAAAGGAUCAUAUCGAAUACGGUGAUCAGAACUGAUCUUUCUUCUUUUGCUUCAACACCUUUAUCUUUCUCCAAUCUCCACACCAGUUUCCAUCUAGAGAUCUUCAACUGCUAAUCCUGCAUCGUGAAGCAUAUGAUAUUUCGGGUUAAU
This 395-nucleotide long non-coding RNA is filed under the name Brassica napus (rape). Its description in RNAcentral is "long non-coding RNA (BNAP_LNC013509)". Lineage: Eukaryota; Viridiplantae; Streptophyta; Magnoliopsida; Brassicales; Brassicaceae. The record is from RNAcentral.